GUGGGGAAUCUUCCGCAAUGGACGAAAGUCUGACGGAGCAACGCCGCGUGAGUGAUGAAGGUCUUCGGAUUGUAAAGCUCUGUUAAUCGGGACGAAAGAGCCUAGUGUGAAUAAUGCUAGGAAGUGACGGUACCGGAAUAGAAAGCCACGGCUAACUACGUGCCAGCAGCCGCGGUAAUACGUAGGUGGCAAGCGUUGUCCGGAAUUAUUGGGCGUAAAGCGCGCGCAGGCGGAUCUGCCAGUCUGUCUUAGAAGUUCGGGGCUUAACCCCGUGAUGGGAUGGAAACUACAGAUCUAGAGUAUCGGAGAGGAAAGUGGAAUUCCUAGUGUAGCGGUGAAAUGCGUAGAUAUUAGGAAGAACACCAGUGGCGAAGGCGACUUUCUGGACGAAAACUGACGCUGAGGCGCGAAAGCCAGGGGAGCGAACGGGAUUAGAAACCCCUGUAGUCC
RNAcentral lists this ribosomal RNA (450 nucleotides) under uncultured bacterium. RNAcentral's name for it is "partial 16S ribosomal RNA". It matches the Rfam family "Bacterial small subunit ribosomal RNA", at positions 354 to 796 of the family's 1533-position model. The record is from RNAcentral.